Molecule: ribosomal RNA, 447 nt
Filed under: uncultured marine bacterium
Lineage: Bacteria
Description: bacterial SSU rRNA
Rfam family: Bacterial small subunit ribosomal RNA
Source: RNAcentral
AAUAUUGGACAAUGGGCGCAAGCCUGAUCCAGCCAUGCCGCGUGCAGGAAGACUGCCCUAUGGGUUGUAAACUGCUUUUAUACAGGAAGAAACCUUUCCACGUGUGGAGAGCUGACGGUACUGUAAGAAUAAGGAUCGGCUAACUCCGUGCCAGCAGCCGCGGUAAUACGGAGGAUCCAAGCGUUAUCCGGAAUCAUUGGGUUUAAAGGGUCCGUAGGUGGAUUAUUAAGUCAGGGGUGAAAGUCUGCAGCUCAACUGUAGAAUUGCCUUUGAUACUGGUAAUCUUGAGUCAUUAUGAAGUGGUUAGAAUGUGUAGUGUAGCGGUGAAAUGCAUAGAUAUUACACAGAAUACCGAUUGCGAAGGCAGAUCACUAAUAAUGUACUGACACUGAUGGACGAAAGCGUGGGUAGCGAACAGGAUUAGAUACCCUGGUAGUCCACGCCGUA